Molecule: ribosomal RNA, 253 nt
Filed under: uncultured bacterium
Lineage: Bacteria
Description: partial 16S ribosomal RNA
Rfam family: Bacterial small subunit ribosomal RNA
Source: RNAcentral
UACGAAGGGGGCGAGCGUUGUUCGGAUUUACUGGGCGUAAAGGGCGCGCAGGCGGCGCAUUUUGUCAGGCGUGAAAGCCCCGGGCUUAACCUGGGAACUGCGUUUGAUACGGAUGGGCUAGAGUUCGGGAGAGGAGAGUGGAAUUCCCAGUGUAGAGGUGAAAUUCGUAGAUAUUAGGAAGAACACCGGUGGCGAAGGCGGCCCACUGGAUCGGUACUGACGCUGAGGUGCGAAAGCGUGGGGAGCAAACAGG